Molecule: long non-coding RNA, 4692 nt
Organism: Triplophysa rosa
Lineage: Eukaryota; Metazoa; Chordata; Actinopteri; Cypriniformes; Nemacheilidae
Exons: 4
Source: RefSeq, a predicted model, not a curated record
AAACGCUCAUGAACGCGCGCACUCUUCAGCGUGCGCCGUGGGGUUGCUUCACGCUGUCUCGCAUGCGUCAAAUUUCAGCUCGACAUUUUAUGAUCCUUUGUGAGUUUAAGGAAGACGGAUCGUCGUCAGUUUUAGCCGAGACUCGUUUAUACGCCACUUCAACACUUCGGGAGGUCUGUCCAUAACAUUAUGUCUCUCACCGUGACUACUAUUGGUCCCAGUGCAACAGACGUUGCACCAACAACUGCAGCUCCACAGCAAACAGACUCUGCUGUCAUAGGAGUGGUGAUUGCGCUUGUCCUGGUGACAUUUGCUCUCUGUGGAUUCCUCCUGUACCGAUACCUGUGCCACAACAAGGGUGUUUAUAGGACAGCAGGUGAGCCUGCUCCAGGAGUUGACCCAGACCAGGUCUACAAUGAUACUGUCACUCCAGGCAAAAAGGAGUACUUCAUCUGACCUGCUCGGAGGUAUUCAACAAUCAACUACGGACUAGACCUCUGAAUACAGUCUAUACGGUGUGCCAAGUGCGGAAGGACGAAACGCUUGGUUAAAUGGAUACAGAUUGAGUUAUAUGGUGCUGUAUUAAUGGAAGGAUUAAGAUAAGUGAAAAAUAUCAGUUUAUUUGUAACAUCAACAAGCGUGCCAUUGUUAGGAUUUGUCUUUGAUUUUCGUAUGGUAAAGUUACAGAGACAAUCAUUUAUUUUGUGCUGACAUUUUUAAGCCUAAAUAUAAUUAGUAGUCCAAAAACAUAGUAUAAUCACAGUUUCAGCAGAAUGCCAGGGAAGUCUGAUGAGAUUCUUAAAUACAGUGUAUUAUUUAUUAUAACCUUGCAUGAGUUUAGCAAGUGGAAGCCAAACAUUGGCAGCAGUGUACAGAUUUUUUUAAAGAUGCAUGACACUACAGUGCUAAUAAGUGUUCUCCUUUGCCUUUGGUAACCCCAUUCUUUUUUUAAUUGAUUUUAAACAAAAAUGAAGUUGGAGAAUCCACUGUUACAGUGCCUUGCAAACCAUUUAAAUGUAUUUGUUUUGGACACUUUAUAACUGAUGAUUGUUUUUUGUUACAAAGUCAUGGCGUGACAGUGCCAAAUAUAAAUAAUACCUCUGUCAGGAUGUUCUGAUCAAAUUCACGUUUUGUGCAGGGUUACAGCAUCUUUGCCGUUAUAAAAAUGAAUGCAAUUUGUCAAUUUCCAAUGUGUCUUUUUUCCUAUGCCUGUUUAUUAAGUUUUAAAUGCAAAAUCGGAUCUACACCUCUACACUCUAAAAAAAAAAAAACGCUACAGACGUGCUCAAAUUUGUUGGUACCCUUACAGCUCAUUGAAAUAACUCAACUCAACUCAACUCAACUUUAUUUAUAUAGCGCUUUUACAAUUUUCAUUGUUACAAAGCAGCUGCACAUGAGACACAUUGACUACAAGCAAAACAAUCAAAAGUUGUACCUGCAAAAACAAGAAAAGGUUGAAACACAGAAGACAGACACACCCACACACAAAACACUCCACACACACAACACGCACAAACACACGCAGACACAGAGACACACACACGGAUGCGCACGCACACACACACAACACACACACACGUACGUACACAGACAAGUACGCACACACACACACGCUCAGUGAGAGCACACAUUUAGGAUAAAGGAGAGAGAUGAUGAGAUGAGGGAUGAUGAGAAAUAAGGCUUCAUUCCUCCUGAAGAGUGAUGAAAUUAAAAGCUAUUGCAUUAUGUAUACUUGCAUGCCUUUGGUAUGUCAUAGAAUAAAGCAAAGAAGCUGUGGAAAGAGAUGAAUUGUUGCUUAUUCUACAAAGAUAUUCUAAAAUGGCCUGGACACAUUUGUUGGUACCCCUUAGAAAAGAUAAUACAGAAUUGGAUUAUGUGAUAUUUCAAACUAAUUAGUUUCUUUAAUUAGUAUCACACAUGUAUCCAAUCUUGGACAGCAGUCAUUCAGCUUAUUUAAACGGAGAAAACCAGUCACUGUGCUGUUUGGUAUCAUUGUGUGCACCACACUGAACACGGACCAGUGAAAGCAAAGGAUAGAGUUGUCUGAGGAGCUCAGAAAGAAAAUAAUAGACAAGCAUGGUAAAGGUAAAGGCUACAAGACCAUCUCCAAGCAGCUCGAUGUUCCUGUGACAACAGUUGAAAAUAUUAUUAAGAAGUUUAAGGUCCAUGGAAUCGUAGCCAACCUCCCUGGGCGCGGCCGCAAGAGGAAAAUCGACCCCAGAUUGAACCGAAGGAUAGUGUGAAUGGUAGAAAAAGAACCAAGGAUAACUGCCAAAGAGAUACAAGCUGACCUCCAGGGUGAAGGUACGUCAGUCUCUGAUCGCACCAUCCGUCGCUUUUUGGGCAAUAGAAGAAGACCCAGGAGGACUUCACUUUUGAAAGAAAAACAAAAAAAAAGCCAGAAUGGAAUUUUCUAAAAUUCAUAUUGACAAGCCACAAUCCUUCUGGGAGACUGUCUUUUGGACAGAUGAGUCAAAACUGGAGCUUUUUGGCAAGUCACAUCAGCUCUAUGUUCACAGACGAAAAAAUCAAGCUUUCAAAGAAGUGAACACCAUACCUACAGUGAAAUAUGGAGGCUCGGUUAUGUUUUGGGGCUGCUUUGCUGCAUCUGGCACAGGGUGCCUUGAUGGUCUUGAGAUUUAAUUGUGCCCUGCACAGAUUCAAGGCAUUCUGGAGCAAAACGUACUGCCCAGUUUCAGAAAGCUGUCUCAGUCGCAGGUCAUGGGUCCUCCAACAGGAUAAUGACUCAAAACACACCGCUAAAAUCACUCAAGAAAGUGGUAAGAACAAAACAUUGGACUAUUCUGAAGUGGCCUUCUAUGAGUCCUGAUCUGAAUCCUAUGGAACAUCUAUGGAAAGAGCUGAAACUUGCAGUCUGGAGAAAAGGCACCCAUCAAACCUGAGACUGCUGGAGCAGUUUGCUCAGGAAGAGCGGGCCAAACUACCUGUUAACAGGUGCAGAAGUCUCAUUGAGACCUACAGAAAACGUUUGCUUGCAGUGAUUGCCUCUAAAGGUUGUGCAAUAAAAUAUUAGGUUAGGGGUCCCAUCAUUUUUGUCCAUGACAUUUUCAUUUGUUUUAUUAUUUACAAUAUUAUGUUGAAUAAAAAAUCAAAAGCAAAGUCUGAUUUCUAUUUAAUAUGGAAUAAACAAUGGUGGAUGCCAAUUACUUUUGUCAGUUUCAAGUUCUUUCAGAGAAAAUUGUGCAUUCUUUGUUUUUUUUGUGGAGGGGUACCAACAAAUUUGAGCACGUCUGUAUAUAGCGCCUCAGUCAUCCCGAAGAACCUCUGAAGAACUACUAAAGCACCAAAAUAUGAUUAUAUAUAGCACUAAACGUGGUUCCCUUAUGAUUACAAGCCAAGAACCACGUUUAGUGCUAUAUAGCACUAUUUUUUUUAGAGUGUAUUGGUGAAGCUGUUAUUUCUUUGUCUUUAGGACUGUCCAAGUUAAACUGUUUUCUUUACAAUACCUCUGUAACCUGUGUCUAAAAGGACAGGACUGUGUUUCACUGAUACCUGAUUGAUCAAAUAUCUGUCAUCAUUAUAGUCAAAAGAAACAUGAAACAUGGCCACUGAAUAACAAAUUGGAGCACAGAAUGUCAAAAUUCAAAAUAGCUUUUAUUCUAAAUUUUGUUUUAUUCUUAAGGUUUAGUAUAAAAAAGUUAAGUGCACCACAAUAUUCAUUGGAGUUCCUUUUCCCAUGUAGCAAACUGGACCUUGAAUCCACGAUGCUGCAGUAUGCAACCAUUACAACCCAUCACAACCUUUGUUUUUAUAUAUAGGGAAAACAAAACGGUUCCCUGAACUGUAGUACCCACAUAAACUAAAGCCAUCCAUGGCUGUCAUGGUAUUGAGGCUCAAGAAAAGCAAUGUAUCUGCUACAUAGCAUAUACACAAACCAAACCGUGGCAUGUGCCAUGAUAAAAUGCUGCUCUAAGACUGAAACAGAUCUUGAGUUCUGAAAGCUUUGCCCUCUUAUGUAUUUGCCAUGUAUAGGUAUGGGAAAACAUCAAUGAAAUUGUAUUUGUUUAAGGAAUGGUCAGGUAACUAUUUUUAAAUUGAAUAAAAACCUACAUAAACACACAGAAAAUAAUCACAGAAAAUGAUAUUAAUGGUGGUAAAGCAACCAUUUUUUGUUUAAUAAUCAUCACAAUUGCAUUGACUGAUGAAGAAAGGAUUUCUUCCUUAUUUACAAAGACACAAACAACCUAAAUGAUGCCUAUGUUGCUUUGUUUGUUUCCAUAAGGGCAAAACCUUUAGAACUGAUGUCGGAUACCCAGUGAUGCACCUGAUACACAGAAACCCUAAAAAUGUGCCGUAUUGGGCAGACAGGCAUAAAAUUACAUUUUUUAGUUCAAUCAUAAAAUGUAUAUGGGGUAAUAAGAAACAUAACGGCAUGCUAGUGAUGAUUAAGAAAAAAGCAUUUCUAAGCAUUUCAUUGUUAUCUAGUAAAAUAAGCAGCAUUGAAGUCACAUCUAGCACAAGGUAACUGCUACAGAAGUCAUGUGUUUUAGUGUCAAACAAAAAAACAGCUGUUUUGAUUAUCAUUAAACAGUAAGAGGAGAAAUAAAGAUUUCUGGAAUUAUGAGACUAAACUGUGGUUUAAAAAUGGCUAGUGGAAUUUAAAGCAUUUUUUCAAGCAAGUUUUAUUUUCCGUAUAAUCAUUUUCAGUAAAACUGAGGUUAGAUUAUAAAG